RNAcentral lists this small RNA (352 nucleotides) under Vigna angularis var. angularis. Its description in RNAcentral is "Non-protein coding transcript". The record is from RNAcentral. Lineage: Eukaryota; Viridiplantae; Streptophyta; Magnoliopsida; Fabales; Fabaceae.
AUAGUUAACUGUGGAGAAGAAGCCACCUUGUGGAAAGUCCUCCCCUUGUGAAAUCUCUUUGUAUAGAUCUUUGCUGUUGUGUUAUCUCUUUGUACAUAUCUUUGCACUGCUCUUUUUUCAAGCAUAUGUAUAUUAUUGUAUAUUAUUCAUCCGUGUUGGUUUUAUGGAUUGAAGUUUAGAUGGACUCACCAGGUCAUCGCUAAACUUUUCCAUGGGUGGAAGGGCAAAGUCAAUCUACCGUCUUAGGUCAUACCAUGUUUAUAAACUUGUUCCAUGUUUGCGUUAUCCACAUUUUCAUGGAACUUAUUAUAGCAGCCUAAUUGCAUUUUAUGGUAGAAGAAUUCAAUCCUUG